Molecule: ribosomal RNA, 488 nt
Filed under: uncultured bacterium
Lineage: Bacteria
Description: partial 16S ribosomal RNA
Rfam family: Bacterial small subunit ribosomal RNA
Source: RNAcentral
AUUGAACGCUGGCGGCAGGCCUAACACAUGCAAGUCGAACGGUAGCACAGAGAGCUUGCUCUCGGGUGACGAGUGGCGGACGGGUGAGUAAUGUCUGGGAAACUGCCCGAUGGAGGGGGAUAACUACUGGAAACGGUAGCUAAUACCGCAUAAUGUCGCAAGACCAAAGAGGGGGACCUUCGGGCCUCUUGCCAUCGGAUGUGCCCAGAUGGGAUUAGCUAGUUGGUGAGGUAAUGGCUCACCAAGGCGACGAUCCCUAGCUGGUCUGAGAGGAUGACCAGCCACACUGGAACUGAGACACGGUCCAGACUCCUACGGGAGGCAGCAGUGGGGAAUAUUGCACAAUGGGCGCAAGCCUGAUGCAGCCAUGCCGCGUGUAUGAAGAAGGCCUUCGGGUUGUAAAGUACUUUCAGCGGGGAGGAAGGCAAUGCGGUUAAUAACCGUGUUGAUUGACGUUACCCGCAGAAGAAGCACCGGCUAACUCCGUG